CUGGUGGCGGUGGUGUGUACAUGUAUUCCAACACCGAGUCAAAACAAUUCAGGACUACAUCUUGACACACCACGAAGUGUCCAUUGACCUAGCCAGCCACAAGCUUCAGAUGAAAACCAGAAGAAAUUACAGUUCGCCAAUUGCACUGGAUUGGGCCAAUUAACGGGAUUAAUGUGUUGCUCGAGGGAAUGGACAAUUUUUCGCAUAUUAAUUCAUGGAAAUGAUUUUAUUUUUUUUUUAUUAUUAGAAAUUUACGUACGAAUGAAGAGUUUGUAAAUAUUUGAACGAGUCGUCAUUCCCUCCAAUUGUCUCGUUUCUCGUGUAUAUAUAAAUUGCGACACUAAUACUUGGAGGUUUGACAAGGUGUUUACUGUUGAGAAAUCUCGGAAUGACUUUCAUGAUCCUAAGGAAUUGGGCCCCUAUUGACAAUUAGACUGGGAACUUGGAAAUCUCCAGAGUUUCACUGACCAACUAGUGGAAUUUCAUGAGACCGAAAAUUUCUCAUGAUAAUAUUCAUUUGUUUAAACUCAUUCUUGGUACUAGAAGAGUUUAUUUGCCUAAUCAGCUGGAUAAACUCUAUUGUUUUCACCGUAGGAUAAUUAAUGAAAUAAAAAGAAAGAUUCAUUAUGGAAAUUGUAAUGCGCAGUGACCAUCAUUAUUCUUUCCAAUCUUUCUUAAUAUGAAAUGACCACUCCCACUUGA
Long non-coding RNA from Fopius arisanus, 702 nucleotides. RefSeq lists it as uncharacterized. The transcript has 4 exons. The record is from RefSeq and is a predicted model, not a curated record. NCBI's taxonomy places the organism in Eukaryota, Metazoa, Arthropoda, Insecta, Hymenoptera, Braconidae.